AUUGAACGCUGGCGGCAGGCCUAACACAUGCAAGUCGAGCGGAUGAAGGGAGCCUGCUCCUGGAUUCAGCGGCGGACGGGUGAGUAAUGCCUAGGAAUCUGCCUGGUAGUGGGGGAUAACGUCCGGAAACGGGCGCUAAUACCGCAUACGUCCUGAGGGAGAAAGUGGGGGAUCUUCGGACCUCACGCUAUCAGAUGAGCCUAGGUCGGAUUAGCUAGUUGGUGGGGUAAAGGCCUACCAAGGCGACGAUCCGUAACUGGUCUGAGAGGAUGAUCAGUCACACUGGAACUGAGACACGGUCCAGACUCCUACGGGAGGCAGCAGUGGGGAAUAUUGGACAAUGGGCGAAAGCCUGAUCCAGCCAUGCCGCGUGUGUGAAGAAGGUCUUCGGAUUGUAAAGCACUUUAAGUUGGGAGGAAGGGCAGUAAGUUAAUACCUUGCUGUUUUGACGUUACCAACAGAAUAGGCACCGGCUAACUUCGUG
RNAcentral lists this ribosomal RNA (484 nucleotides) under uncultured bacterium. Its description in RNAcentral is "partial 16S ribosomal RNA". It matches the Rfam family "Bacterial small subunit ribosomal RNA", at positions 30 to 507 of the family's 1533-position model. The record is from RNAcentral.